AUUUUUUCUCGGUCUUUUGCUAAGACAAGUGUAGUAUCUGUUCUUAUCAGUUUAAUAUUCGAUAUGUCCUCUAUAUGAGUGACUACAUUGUUUGGGGAUUUUUGGGUGAGAGGGGCAGAAAUUUGGAGCUGCUCUUCUCUCCACGCAUCGACUAGUGAUUGCAGUGUCGUUGGGAACGGUGCACUCUGC
Molecule: small nuclear RNA, 189 nt
Organism: Hippoglossus stenolepis (Pacific halibut)
Lineage: Eukaryota; Metazoa; Chordata; Actinopteri; Pleuronectiformes; Pleuronectidae
Product: U2 spliceosomal RNA
Exons: 1
Source: RefSeq, a predicted model, not a curated record